GGUAGUAAAAGUCGUAACAAGGUAUCCGUAGGUGAACCUGCGGAAGGAUCAUUAUUGUAUAACCGAGGUGCGAGGGCUGUCGCUGACCGAAAGGUCGUGCACGCCCGAGUGCCCUCACACACAUCCAUCUCACCCCUAUGUGCACCACCGCGUGGGUCCCCCUUUGGCUUGUUCGGAGGGGGGCUUACGUUUUCACACAAACUUUGUAUGCAGUGUAGAAUGUAUUUUUUGUUUUUGCGAUCACGCAAUCAAUACAACUUUCAACAACGGAUCUCUUGGCUCUC
Molecule: unclassified non-coding RNA, 284 nt
Filed under: plant metagenome
Description: partial contains small subunit ribosomal RNA, internal transcribed spacer 1, and 5.8S ribosomal RNA
Rfam family: Eukaryotic small subunit ribosomal RNA (bases 1-54)
Source: RNAcentral